GAGCAUCCGCAAAGGAGGAUUUAACCAAUCCUUAGCGCGAUAACAUAGGUUAAUUUGAUUAAAAUAUUAAUACAUAUGCUCGAUUACGGAAGGAUUGAUCCUUGAACAAGGAUUAGAAGGAUCAAGUCCUUGUGUACGUGUCCGUCGGUGAUAGGUAGAGCUUUUGUUUGUGUUUGGCAACGAAGAUCAACAUCUCUCUCUCUCUCUCUCUCUCUCUCUCUCUCUCUCUCUCUCUCUCUCUCUCUCUCUCUCUCUCUCUCUCUCUCUCUCUCUCUCUCUCUCUCUCUCUCUCUCUCUCUCUCUCUCUCUCUCUCUCUCUCUCUCUCUCUCUCUCUCUUUCCAGGCAACGAAGAUCAACAUCCAUGGCGACUUGAAGAUGCCUCGAUACGAUGAUCGUUACAGCAGCAAUGACCGAUACGGCGGCGCACGUCUCUGUGUGGGACACCUCGGAACGCGAUCUUGAACACCUCUUCAGCAAAUACGGAAGGUCAGCUUUUGAUAAGGUUUGUAGCAGUCUUUCUGGACCAAAGCCUAAACAAGGGAUGAAUUACAGUUGAUAUGUCUAGUCGUUAGCUUAUAUGGGUAGGAGUGUUGUGGCUUAACAUGUAGUAUAUAUUAACUUCGAUGUUAAUGCCUUGAGAAAGCAUUCCCACGUCCAUGGUGAAAGGCAGUACGUUUGCGAUUACCAUGGUUGUGAUAAGGAAAGAAGGUAACAAGGGGCUUCAACAGCUGAAAGGGUGAGAUCGUUUAGAAAGGAUGAAGACCUGGAACUCAGGUUGCUAACUUGCAAGGGAUAUGGAGCAGAGACGUUCAGCUGCCAUGGGAUGGUGCUCCUCACCUGAACAUUAAUCUCCAGAUGAACUAUUGGCAUUCUCUUCCUGCUAAUAUAAGGGAAUGCCAAGAACCGUUGUUUGAUUAUAUGUCUGCUUUAGCUAUCAAUGGCCGCAAGACAGCACAAGUAAGUUUCUAUCCUUUUUGUAUUGAUGGUUACAUUGUUGACAUCAAUGUGUGAAGUUUAAUCGAAGAUGAACAAGAUAUCAGACUUUUGUUGUGAAACUGUGUUGUUCUUGCAAACAAAAGUGUCACAGAACAUAAACAUAUUUGAUCAUAUUGCUAAUUUUUUUUUA
Long non-coding RNA from Raphanus sativus (radish), 1127 nucleotides. RefSeq lists it as uncharacterized. Lineage: Eukaryota; Viridiplantae; Streptophyta; Magnoliopsida; Brassicales; Brassicaceae. The record is from RefSeq and is a predicted model, not a curated record. The transcript has 5 exons.